RNAcentral lists this long non-coding RNA (1193 nucleotides) under Equus caballus (horse). RNAcentral's name for it is "lncRNA (ENSECAG00000050866.1)". Lineage: Eukaryota; Metazoa; Chordata; Mammalia; Perissodactyla; Equidae. The record is from RNAcentral.
CCCCUUGCCUCCAUUUGUGUAAUUGUUUGCAAAGCCCCCAAGACUUGCACAAGGUGGGGACUCCGUGCAUUUGACCGUGCUCCAUCAGCCAGGGAAACACAUCUGUGAAAGUAGGUGUGAGGCGCCCCCAUGAGUGGACAGGGAGGGGUGGAGGUACAGGAUGUGUCGUGAAGGAGUGUGAGCAAGGUCUCAUUGACUUGUGUUUGUCCUGGACAUGAUGUGGUUUGGCUCUGUGGCUGGGGGGAAGGAGGAGGGCGGUAGUCCUAGUAUUUUGAGACAGUGCCAUUGGAUCCCUUCUUUGCACGAGAUUUGUGGGUGGAGGGAGGUGAUGCUGGUGCCAGUGGAGCCUGUAAUCUGUCCCUCUGAUUGAUGGGCACUGGUCGGGAUCAGGCAGAGCGAUAUGCAGAGUAGAAUUUGACACGGGAAUCAUUAGUUGUGGUUGCAGACAUGAACGAAGAAGAUAACAGGUUUUCUUUUUUCUCCUGCUGCAGGGGAGUUUAGACAUCAACCAGCCCAACAUUUCCCCCGUCUCCCUACUUGGCAGCAUCUCUGGGAAGUGACUAAAAUACAGAUUCCCAGGGAUCCUCGGGGAUUCAGAUGCUCAGCCAGAUUUGAGAACCACUGACCUAGAACCCAACUCCCUAAUUUUAUUGCAUCUUCAUUACAACGGCUUUGAAUGCCACAUCAACAUGGAGCUACUCAUACAGAUCUUUAAGGUCAGUGGAACUGCCACCGUCACCCUCGGUAGCCAAUAUGGAUAGGGAGGAGCCCAGUGGCCAAGGGAGGACUUGCUGAAGGUCCUGCAACCUGUGAGUGACACCACUGGGUCUACAAUCUCGACACUUGCUUUCCUCUCUGGGAGAUGCCCACCUUCAAUUCUAGAAUGCCACACACCUCAUUUCGUAUUUUGUAAUAUUUAACUUCUGUAUUAAACAUUUGCAAUUAGCCUUAAAAGAAAUGAUUGAUGGCCUUUCCUCAUUUUUAAAAAGAGUGCUUUGCAGAUACAUAAAGGUAAGAAGCUGUUAGGGGAGGUUUUAUGGCAGAUGGUUCUUGGCAGCCAUCGCUUUUCUUUUAUGGCAGUCUGGAAAUUUUCCUGGGUAAUAACUUGCUUUUCUUUUAACAGGCAUAAAAAAGAGGUUCUAGAUAGUUGGCUCAUUAUCAAAUGAUUUUCCAAAGACAACCAUAAAUUGUCA